Microtus oregoni (creeping vole) is the source of this 105-nucleotide small nuclear RNA. The record is from RefSeq and is a predicted model, not a curated record. Lineage: Eukaryota; Metazoa; Chordata; Mammalia; Rodentia; Cricetidae.
GUGCUCGCUUCGGCAGCACAUAUACUAAAAUUGGAACGAUACAGAGAAGAUUAGCAUGGCCCCUAAAAAAAAAAAAAAAAAACCUAAGGGGUCACUACAAUAUAC